This 156-nucleotide non-coding RNA is filed under the name Chloroflexota bacterium. RNAcentral's name for it is "Chloroflexi bacterium FMN sequence". It matches the Rfam family "FMN riboswitch aptamer (RFN element)". Rfam says of the family: The RFN element is a highly conserved domain that is found frequently in the 5'-untranslated regions of prokaryotic mRNAs that encode for flavin mononucleotide (FMN) biosynthesis and transport proteins. This element is a metabolite-dependent riboswitch that directly binds FMN in the absence of proteins. In Bacillus subtilis, the riboswitch most likely controls gene expression by causing premature transcription termination within the 5' untranslated region of the ribDEAHT operon and precluding access to the ribosome-binding site of ypaA mRNA. The record is from RNAcentral. Lineage: Bacteria; Bacillati; Chloroflexota.
ACAGACCUUCGGGGCAGGGUGGAAUCCCCUACCGGCGGUGAUGGAGCGUAAGUGCUCCUCAGCCCGCGACCCGUCGCGUUCCGAACACCGAACACGGCGGCUGAUCCGGUGGAAUUCCGGGGCCGACGGUUACAGUCCGGAUGGGAGAAGGUCGCU